This 716-nucleotide ribosomal RNA is filed under the name uncultured bacterium. Its description in RNAcentral is "bacterial SSU rRNA". It matches the Rfam family "Bacterial small subunit ribosomal RNA", at positions 62 to 738 of the family's 1533-position model. The record is from RNAcentral.
UCGAGCGAGUCUGCCUUGAAGAUCGGAGUGCUUGCACUCUGUGAAACAAGAUACAGGCUAGCGGCGGACGGGUGAGUAACACGUGGGUAACCUGCCCAAGAGAUCGGGAUAACACCUGGAAACAGAUGCUAAUACCGGAUAAUAACAGAUGAUGCCUAUCAACUGUUUAAAAGAUGGUUCUGCUAUCACUCUUGGAUGGACCUGCGGUGCAUUAGCUAGUUGGUAGGGUAACGGCCUACCAAGGCGAUGAUGCAUAGCCGAGUUGAGAGACUGAUCGGCCACAUUGGGACUGAGACACGGCCCAAACUCCUACGGGAGGCAGCAGUAGGGAAUCUUCCACAAUGGACGCAAGUCUGAUGGAGCAACGCCUCGUGAGUGAAGAAGGGUUUCGGCUCGUAAAGCUCUGUUGUUGGUGAAGAAGGACAGGGGUAGUAACUGACCUUUGUUUGACGGUAAUCAAUUAGAAAGUCACGGCUAACUACGUGCCAGCAGCCGCGGUAAUACGUAGGUGGCAAGCGUUGUCCGGAUUUAUUGGGCGUAAAGCGAGUGCAGGCGGUUCGAUAAGUCUGAUGUGAAAGCCUUCGGCUCAACCGGAGAAUUGCAUCAGAAACUGUCGAGCUUGAGUACAGAAGAGGAGAGUGGAACUCCAUGUGUAGCGGUGAAAUGCGUAGAUAUAUGGAAGAACACCGGUGGCGAANGCGGCUCUCUGGUCUGUU